RNAcentral lists this signal recognition particle RNA (264 nucleotides) under Bacillota bacterium. RNAcentral describes it as "signal recognition particle sRNA large type". It matches the Rfam family "Bacterial large signal recognition particle RNA". Rfam says of the family: The signal recognition particle (SRP) is a universally conserved ribonucleoprotein involved in the co-translational targeting of proteins to membranes. Archaeal SRP consists of a 7S RNA and homologues of the eukaryotic SRP19 and SRP54 proteins. The record is from RNAcentral. Lineage: Bacteria; Bacillati; Bacillota.
UCGUGCUAGGCGGGGAGGUAGCGGUGCCCUGUACCCGCAAACCGCUAUAGCGGGGCUGAAUUCCUACCCGAGGCCUUAUCUUGUGGGGACUGGCCGGGGUAAGUGGCGAGGAAGUUUGGGUCCUGCGCAACGGGAACUCCUGAACCGUGUCAGGUCCGGAAGGAAGCAGCACUAAGGGAUUAUUCUUGUGUGCCGCGGGGGUGCCUAAGCAGAGCUAACUGCUCCGGUAACGCCCGGAAGGUAAUUUCGACGGUAGGUGCACGG